CGGCGUGCUUAACACAUGCAAGUCGAACGCUGAAGCCUAGCUUGCUGGGUGGAUGAGUGGCGAACGGGUGAGUAACACGUGAGUAACCUGCCCCCUUCUUUGGGAUAACGCCCGGAAACGGGUGCUAAUACUGGAUAUUCACUGAUCUUCGCAUGGGGGUUGGUGGAAAGGUUUGUUCUGGUGGGGGAUGGGCUCGCGGCCUAUCAGCUUGUUGGUGGGGUGAUGGCCUACCAAGGCUUUGACGGGUAGCCGGCCUGAGAGGGUGACCGGUCACAUUGGGACUGAGAUACGGCCCAGACUCCUACGGGAGGCAGCAGUGGGGAAUAUUGCACAAUGGGCGAAAGCCUGAUGCAGCGACGCCGCGUGAGGGAUGGAGGCCUUCGGGUUGUAAACCUCUUUCGCUCAUGGUCAAGCCGCAACAUUGGUUGUGGUGAGGGUAGUGGGUAAAGAAGCGCCGGCUAACUACGUGCCAGCAGCCGCGG
RNAcentral lists this ribosomal RNA (482 nucleotides) under Schaalia odontolytica. RNAcentral's name for it is "bacterial SSU rRNA". It matches the Rfam family "Bacterial small subunit ribosomal RNA", at positions 40 to 520 of the family's 1533-position model. The record is from RNAcentral. Lineage: Bacteria; Bacillati; Actinomycetota; Actinomycetes; Actinomycetales; Actinomycetaceae.